RNAcentral lists this ribosomal RNA (484 nucleotides) under uncultured bacterium. RNAcentral's name for it is "partial 16S ribosomal RNA". It matches the Rfam family "Bacterial small subunit ribosomal RNA", at positions 29 to 507 of the family's 1533-position model. The record is from RNAcentral.
AAUGAACGCUGGCGGCAGGCCUAACACAUGCAAGUCGAGCGGAUGAAGGGAGCUUGCUCCUGGAUGCAGCGGCGGACGGGUGAGUAAUGCCUAGGAAUCUGCCUGGUAGUGGGGGAUAACGUCCGGAAACGGGCGCUAAUACCGCAUACGUCCUGAGGGAGAAAGUGGGGGAUCUUCGGACCUCACGCUAUCAGAUGAGCCUAGGUCGGAUUAGCUAGUUGGUGGGGUAAAGGCCUACCAAGGCGACGAUCCGUAACUGGUCUGAGAGGAUGAUCAGUCACACUGGAACUGAGACACGGUCCAGACUCCUACGGGAGGCAGCAGUGGGGAAUAUUGGACAAUGGGCGAAAGCCUGAUCCAGCCAUGCCGCGUGUGUGAAGAAGGUCUUCGGAUUGUAAAGCACUUUAAGUUGGGAGGAAGGGCAGUAAGUUAAUACCUUGCUGUUUUGACGUUACCAACAGAAUAAGCACCGGCUAACUUCGUG